Molecule: long non-coding RNA, 1290 nt
Organism: Astatotilapia calliptera (eastern happy)
Lineage: Eukaryota; Metazoa; Chordata; Actinopteri; Cichliformes; Cichlidae
Source: Ensembl
UUUGAACCGUAGGAUUUUUUUCAAGAAUGAAAAAGUGAAACUGUAUUUAGUGAAAGUGAAAGCCUCAUGAACGACUCGUGAGUCAUUUUUGUUCAUGGACAAAUAACAUGGAUGUGGGAAGAAGGAUCAGCCUUCAAGAAGCAGUAAUGUAGGCAGAGGAAGAGGAGGGAGGAUUGCGUCAGAAUCAGCCUCCUCUGACUCAUCAGCCCUGCUCUCUCCCUGACAAACACACACUCCCCCCUCUGUUUCCAUGUUUGACUGCGUAAUCUUGUCACAUGAGAGCAAUCAGUCCAGAAACAGUUGCCAGGGAAGCUUUUUCAUUCCUUACAAAAAGACAGACUCGGGGAUCUUAGAUGUUGUUAAAUUGAUUGCACUACAAUAAACGCUUUCUGAGUGCCUGGGUUUUGUCCUCGUGUUUGCGUAACCUUGUAUGUGCAGCUCUCUGCUUCAGUCCAUUCACUCAUUAUGGCUGACAAGCCUUCCCUAGCAACAACAGUUCCUUUUACUGCUGAUGUGAGGAGCAGUGUUCGGAUACAGAAGCUCACUGUGCAGUUCAGGUUCCCGUUCAGCAGCGUUUCUGUGCUGAUAUCGCUUAAACAUCCUUCUCCCUGCAAACGCUCAUGUCACCCACAUGCUAACUCAUGCUUACUAUGUCAACAGCCGGGCUCACAUGUGCAGAAUCACAUGACUUGCUGAUUUUCCAUUCGCUGCUUUUUUCAUUUGCAUCCCAAUGUGCCACUGUUUGCUUUGCAAAGCUGAACACAUUUGCACUGUUUCCAUUGGGCUGAUUGUGUUAUUGAUGCACAUGCCUCUAUUAUUUCAUUUUUCACUUUGCUAACAUGCACUCACAGAAACUGUCAUGGUGCUGGGUCGUUGACCCAGCGUUUUGUGUUUUAUGGUUAUUUUCUUCUGUUCUAGUUAUUCUGAUUUUGGUGUUCUGUGUCCUCCCCUUGUGCCCUGUUCGUGUUCUGGAUUUCCUGUUUUAUUUUGAAGGUCUGUGUCUGUUGUCAUUGUGUUCAGCUUGUAUCCUCCAGAUCGUCUUUGUGUACUGGGAUCAGCUGUUCUUCCCUCCUGUGUGUGAUUACCUGAUUUCCUUGUGUGUGAGUGGGUGUCGGUCUGUGCUUGUCUGUGUUCCAUGGCGUUUCGUUCCUCUCUCUGCGCCACACCCCGUUUCUUAUGUUCUCAGGUUUGUUAAUUAGUUUUUCCAGUUUAGGUUUCUUUAGUCAUUUCUCACUGUCAGCUCUGUCACCCUAUUACAUGUAAAUAAACGUCACUUGCAUUAUCAGUCAA